Molecule: long non-coding RNA, 1291 nt
Organism: Manis pentadactyla (Chinese pangolin)
Lineage: Eukaryota; Metazoa; Chordata; Mammalia; Pholidota; Manidae
Exons: 3
Source: RefSeq, a predicted model, not a curated record
GCCGGUCUCGCCCUCCUGGCCUCCGAGACGUUUUGGCGUUGGUUUUUCUGUGCCCAUCAGCGUGUUUUUGCCUGUUUGCUUGUUUGCUUAAAUAUAGAGCCUUAGCUCCCAGAGAAAGCCUCAGGAAUGCGCUUGUCGGACGGUGCCUCUCCUCGUAGAUCCUCCGGGCAGGACCUCCAGGGGACGCCACGAAUCCAUAGCAGCCUUCCCUGCCGGGCCAGGCCUACUCACCUAGACCGAGCUUGGGGGCUCAGCAAACAUGGUCUCGGAGUUAACUGUUUCCUCAUCUGGAAAAUGAGGAAGUCAGAAGACUUCGAUGGAACGAUGGAGACAAAGCAUGCUGUAGCACAAGAUGUGAAGAUCCCCUGGCUAGGAUCACGGCUUGGCAACAGCUGCAGAGAUAAGGAACAGAUCUGCUCUCCAUGCUCUCCUCGCCAGCCUAAGCUUGCUGAUUGUUAUGGAUUGAAUUAUGUCACCCUGAAAAGAUACAUUGGAGUUUUAACCACCAGGACCUUAUUGGGAAAUAAGGUCCUUGCAGAUGUGAUUAAGAUGAAGUCACACUGGUUUAGGGUUGGCCUCUAAUGCAACGUGACUGGUGAAAUGACGUGCAGACCCGCAUAAAAAACCCCAGGAUUCUACAAGUCAAAGCAACUGGCACAGAUGCCCCCUUGGCCGUCAGAACUAAUCCUGCUGACACCUUAUUCUUAGCUUCUAGCCUCCAGGACUGGGAAACCUUCCAUUUCUGUUGAUUAGGGCGCCCUCACCGUGUGGUUUGUGGUCCUUCAUUAUGGCAGCCCUACCAGACUAACCCACUGAAGGGAGGAAGGAGGCCGGCCGGAGAUCGCCGCGCAAGUCGGGAGGAUGGGCAGCACCCGCGCGGGCUGGGAGCCAGCGGGAGAUGCGGACCCUAUGCUCCGACCUGACCCAGGGAACCCACUGUUCACCCGCAGCCCCACCCCGGCUCGCAAUGAGGUGCAGGCGCAGGCCAGGCUGGCAGUGGGGGGUGGGGGGAAGAAGGGGUCGAGAAUGAGGCUGACUCCUAGGAGCUGUAGCCUCACCUGUUCACUGAACCGAAACCUCAGUGAGGCCCUAGUUGCGCUUGUGUUCUUCUCAUAGGUUUCCUAAAGUGGUAACAAGCGUAGCAGCAGCAGGGGGAGCAGCCUGGAAGGCAAAGUGGAGGCCCUGGGCUUGCAAGCACUGCCCCCUCGGCUCCUGAGGCCUCUGUGGAGGGAGUGGGGCAGUAGUUCUGGACAUAAAGGUCUCUGUGGGUCCCCUCUUCUCAUUUCCCCAA